This 744-nucleotide ribosomal RNA is filed under the name Triticum aestivum (bread wheat). RNAcentral's name for it is "partial small subunit ribosomal RNA". The record is from RNAcentral. Lineage: Eukaryota; Viridiplantae; Streptophyta; Magnoliopsida; Poales; Poaceae.
AUGGGUCGGGGAAAGGUGGAGAUCAGGCGGAUCGAGAACAAGACAACCCGGCAGGUGACGUUCACCAAGCGCCGGAACGGGCUGCUCAAGGCCUACGAGCUCUCGCUGCUCUGCGACGCCGAGGUCGCCCUCGUCAUCUUCUCCGGCGGCGGCCGCCUCUUCGAGUUCUCUAGCUCCUCAUGCAUGUACAAAAUACUUGAGAGAUACCGCACGUGCAACCAUAACUCACCAGAAGCAACCCCUUCAGCAGAAAAUGAAAUAAAUUACCAAGAAUAUCUGAAGUUGAAGACCAGACUUGAAUAUCUUCAAAGUUCACAAAGAAAUAUUCUCGGUGAGGAUCUGGGCCCACUUAGCAUGAGGGAGCUUGAGCAAAUUGAGAACCAAAUAGACAUAUCUCUCAAGCAUAUCAGGACAAGAAAGAAUAAAGUAUUACUUCAUGAGUUAUAUGACCUGAAAAGUAAGGAGCAAGAAUUGCUGGAUCAAAACAAAGACCUGAGGAAGAAGUUGCAAGACAUCAGCUGUGCCGAGAAUGCGCUCCAUAUGUCAUGGCAAGAUGGAGGGCACGGUAGCUCCAGUGGGUGGCAUGCCAUCGAGACUACUUAUCCCGGACUGCUGCAACGCCUGGAACAUGAUUCCUCCAGGCAAAUUGGGUACCAUCAGACCAGCAUGGACCAGCUGAACAACGAAGCCAUGGCUCCACAGUGCCUUGAUGGACACCUUGGAUCGACUGCAAGUUGGAUAUGA